AGGGGCGGGAAGGGACCCGGGGGCGGGGAAAGCCGCCCUAGUUUAAGGGGUUCCGGGCCGUCGCUCAGGCCUGGCAGAGCCCAGGCAGCCCGUCAGCACGCGCACAGCGGACUCUGCCGACGAAGCACAAUUGGGAGUGUUUCACAAAGGGCGGGAGAAAUGGGGGACAGCUAGUGCUCCCAGGUUUCCUCGUGGUCCGCGGGGAAAAGCCCGGCGUCCGGGUGCUGCGGGGGGACGAAGGGACGCUGGAAGAGCCAGAGGAGCGCUGAAGUAAAAUGUCCUGUGGGUGAUUUAUAUCCUUGGUCGUGACCUCGAUCUGUACAGCGAAGCCUCGUGAGGGGACGGACAUUGUCGCGUGGGCAUCAUAUCCACAGCGACUAACCAGGGUACAGAUUAAUUUCUGCCUCUAUAGAAGUUUUGUGUACAAGUCAUGCUGCCCUUAGCUGCACUAUUAUCUUGCCAUCCAAGACGUCACAGCGUCACGGAUCAUUGAGACCUCCGCUGUAACCAGUGAUGUGGGGAGUUGUUCCUUUCCCACACACCACCUGCUGGCUCUUCAGGUAUACCUGGAGAGAUGAUGUCAUUGUUGAUGGUGCUUUAUGAUCUGGGUAUUGUGUAUGUGUGAAGCUGACUCAAGACUACCAAGCCCUCUUGUUUUGUUUCAUUUGCUGUCCUGGGGAUUGAGCCCAGGGCCUUGCACAUGUUAAACAUUGCUUCUAACACUAAACUACACCCCCAACCCCUUGUCAUCCUCAUUUUAACUUCUUGAUGAUGUAGUCAUCUAUGCCACUCGCAAAUAUCCAUGACAUUCGGUUUUUCCUGAUUGUCUAAAAUUGUAUUGUACUCCUUUUGUCCAUUCUCUUUCAAGAAAAGGUG
This 876-nucleotide long non-coding RNA is filed under the name Heterocephalus glaber (naked mole-rat). Its description in RNAcentral is "lncRNA (ENSHGLG00100037129.1)". The record is from RNAcentral. Lineage: Eukaryota; Metazoa; Chordata; Mammalia; Rodentia; Bathyergidae.